This 425-nucleotide ribosomal RNA is filed under the name uncultured bacterium. RNAcentral describes it as "partial 16S ribosomal RNA". It matches the Rfam family "Bacterial small subunit ribosomal RNA", at positions 354 to 796 of the family's 1533-position model. The record is from RNAcentral.
GUGGGGAAUAUUGCACAAUGGGGGAAACCCUGAUGCAGCGACGCCGCGUGAGUGAAGAAGUAUUUCGGUACGUAAAGCUCUAUCAGCAAGGAAGAAAAUGACGGUACUUGACUAAGAAGCCCCGGCUAACUACGUGCCAGCAGCCGCGGUAAUACGUAGGGGGCAAGUGUUAUCCGGAUUUACUGGGUGUAAAGGGAGCGUAGACGGUAUGGUAAGUCAGAUGUGAAAGCCCGGGGCUCAACCCCGGGACUGCAUUUGAAACUAUCAGACUAGAGUGCAGGAGAGGUAAGUGGAAUUCCUAGUGUAGCGGUGAAAUGCGUAGAUAUUAGGAGGAACACCAGUGGCGAAGGCGGCUUACUGGACUGUAACUGACGUUGAGGCUCGAAAGCGUGGGGAGCAAACAGGAUUAGAUACCCUAGUAGUCC